UUCCUGUUGGCGCCCAGGAAAAAUAUUGUACGAGUUGUGGAAUGUUCACAGGAUUUAUAAAGGUUCUGGGGUACAAAAGAUGGCAAUUAUAUUCAUAAUCUACAGAAGAACAAGACAGAAAUGAGAUAUAUUGCCAUGGGGACAGUUAUUAACGCGAUGACGACAGCCGCCCCUAUAACCGCCCAAAUCACCUUGCUGCAGCCCUGUUAAAGCAACCUUGAAGCGGGAAACUCUACCCGUCCUCUUCGUCAUAUCGAACGUGAGCAUGUUCGGUGACAGGUGCACUGCGAUGACAAAGUACCACAGGGACCAUAUAAUCACCAGAAGAUC
Molecule: long non-coding RNA, 330 nt
Organism: Esox lucius (northern pike)
Lineage: Eukaryota; Metazoa; Chordata; Actinopteri; Esociformes; Esocidae
Exons: 4
Source: RefSeq, a predicted model, not a curated record